GAUGAACGCUAGCGGCAGGCUUAAUACAUGCAAGUCGAGGGGCAGCGGGAGUAGCAAUACUUGCCGGCGACCGGCGCACGGGUGCGUAACACGUAUACAAUCUGCCUUUUUACAGGGGGAGUAGCCCGGAGAAAUACCGGAUUAAUACCCCACUAACAGUCGAGUAAGCAUUUACUUGAUUUGUAAAGCUCCGGCGGUAAGAGAUGAGUAUGCGGCUGAUUAGCUAGUUGGAGUGUAACGGACUACCAAGGCUACGAUCAGUAGGGGAGUCUGAGA
This 276-nucleotide ribosomal RNA is filed under the name uncultured bacterium. Its description in RNAcentral is "partial 16S ribosomal RNA". It matches the Rfam family "Bacterial small subunit ribosomal RNA", at positions 28 to 297 of the family's 1533-position model. The record is from RNAcentral.